CAACAGGGAAGUACUUUGGAGGAAUGGGGUUCUGAGCAGAGGUGGGAGGAGGUGGGAAGGACAGGGAUGGUGUGACUCUGCAGGACCUCCCUCCUGCCUUGAGGCCUCGGCAGGCACCGCUGGGGGCUCCAGGCCUGGUCAGUGCAGUCACGGCUUCUCGGGCAGGGCCUUGGGGGCGGUAGAGCAAGGACACAAGACACAGCCCUCACAGCUGGUAGCAGAAUGGGGGCUGCAGAUGGAGUUUUUGCUGUUGUUACCCAGACUGGAGUGCAAUGGCACGAUCUCAGCUCACCUCAACUUCCGCUUCCCGGGUUCAAGUGAUUCUCCUGCCUCAGCCUCCUGAGCAGCUGAGACUACAGCCUCCCUCUGCUGCCUCUGCCUGCCUGCUGCCUCUUGUCUAGCUGCUGUCAGGAGCUGACGGCCACCAGGGCUGGAAUCCUGUGACCCCUCUGUGCCCAGGUAAGGAGGCAGUGGCCCAGGGGCUGAGCAGCCUAAUACCCUCUCUGCACCCACAGAAGGCAAAGUUUUACUAGGUGAGAGGGCUGUUACUAGCUAGGAUGGCAGAAGGUUGAGUUUACCAAAGAUUGGAGGGGACUUGAUACCCAGAGGAGGCACGGACCAAGUUUUCUUAGGCGUUAACUCAAUGCUAGGUACCAGGGUAAACCACUCAACUGUCUG
This 678-nucleotide long non-coding RNA is filed under the name Callithrix jacchus (white-tufted-ear marmoset). RNAcentral's name for it is "lncRNA (ENSCJAG00000071127.1)". The record is from RNAcentral. Lineage: Eukaryota; Metazoa; Chordata; Mammalia; Primates; Cebidae.